This 468-nucleotide ribosomal RNA is filed under the name uncultured bacterium. RNAcentral describes it as "partial 16S ribosomal RNA". It matches the Rfam family "Bacterial small subunit ribosomal RNA", at positions 28 to 507 of the family's 1533-position model. The record is from RNAcentral.
GACGAACGCUGGCGGCGUGCUUAACACAUGCAAGUCGAACGGAAAGGCCCUGCUUGUGUGGGGUGCUCGAGUGGCGAACGGGUGAGUAACACGUGAGUAACCUUCCCUGGACUUGGGGAUAACUUCAGGAAACUGGGGCUAAUACCGGAUAGGAGCGCCUGCUGCAUGGGGGGGGUUGGAAAGUUUCGGCGGUGGGGGAUGGACUGGCGGCUUAUCAGCUUGUUGGGGGAGUAGUGGCUUACCAAGGCUUUGACGGGUAGCCGGCAUGAGAGGGUGACCGGCGACAAUGGGCCUGAGAGAGGGCCCAGAGUCGUACGGGAGGCAGCAGUGGGGAAUAUUGCACAGUGGGGCGAAGCGUGAUGCAGCGACGCCGCGUGCGGGAUGACGGCCUUCGGGUUGUAAACCGCUUUCGGCUGUGACGAUGCGUGAGUGACGGUACUGGGUAAAGAAGCACCGGCUAACUACGUG